RNAcentral lists this ribosomal RNA (393 nucleotides) under Betaproteobacteria bacterium. RNAcentral describes it as "bacterial SSU rRNA". It matches the Rfam family "Bacterial small subunit ribosomal RNA", at positions 75 to 475 of the family's 1533-position model. Lineage: Bacteria; Pseudomonadati; Pseudomonadota; Betaproteobacteria. The record is from RNAcentral.
GGUCUUCUGAUGCUGACGAGUGGGGAACGGGUGAGUAAUACAUCGGAACGUGCCCGAUCGUGGGGGAUAACGGAGCGAAAGCUUUGCUAAUACCGCAGACGAUCUACGGAUGAAGGCGGGGGAUCUUCGGACCUCUCGCGGACGGAGCGGCCGAUGGCAGAUUAAGUAGUUGGUGGGAUAAAAGCUUACCAAGCCGACCAUCUGUAGCUGGUCUGACAGGAUGAUCAGCCACACUGGGACUGACACACGGCCCAGACUCCUACCGGAGGCAGCAGUGGGGAAUUUUGGACAAUGGGGGCAACCCUGAUCCAGCCAUGCCGCGUGCAUGAUGAAUGACUUCCGGUUGUAAACUGCUUUUGUUCGGAACGAACAAACUCUGGUUAUACCUGGCGU